Molecule: unclassified non-coding RNA, 225 nt
Filed under: Hevea brasiliensis (rubber tree)
Lineage: Eukaryota; Viridiplantae; Streptophyta; Magnoliopsida; Malpighiales; Euphorbiaceae
Source: RNAcentral
CCUAACCAUAAAGAAAAAUAAAAAUAAUUAUAAAAAAACGAUGACAAAUUAACUUUAUGUGAGGGUUUAACGUCCUGAUCAAUAUCAAAGCUCUUCGAGUUGAAAUGGUUACUUUAAAAUUGCCAAGAUUGAGUUGCCGCGAAGGCGCGAACCAUGACUGUAACUUCUACACAAAUGGAAUCGUGUGGAUUUCACCAAAAAAAAAGGUGGGAAAAAAAAAAAAAA